This 497-nucleotide ribosomal RNA is filed under the name uncultured bacterium. Its description in RNAcentral is "partial 16S ribosomal RNA". It matches the Rfam family "Bacterial small subunit ribosomal RNA", at positions 28 to 507 of the family's 1533-position model. The record is from RNAcentral.
GAUGAACGCUGGCGGCGUGCCUAAUACAUGCAAGUCGAGCGAACAGACGAGGAGCUUGCUCCUCUGACGUUAGCGGCGGACGGGUGAGUAACACGUGGAUAACCUACCUAUAAGACUGGGAUAACUUCGGGAAACAGGAGCUAAUACCGGAUAAUAUAUUGAACCGCAUGGUUCAAUAGUGAAAGACGGUUUUGCUGUCACUUAUAGAUGGAUCCGCGCCGCAUUAGCUAGUUGGUAAGGUAACGGCUUACCAAGGCAACGAUGCGUAGCCGACCUGAGAGGGUGAUCGGCCACACUGGAACUGAGACACGGUCCAGACUCCUACGGGAGGCAGCAGUAGGGAAUCUUCCGCAAUGGGCGAAAGCUUGACGGAGCAACGCCGCGCGAGUGAUGAAGGUCUUCGGAUCGUAAAACUCUGUUAUUAGGGAAGAACAAAUGUGUAAGUAACUAUGCACGUCUUGACGGUACCUAAUCAGAAAGCCACGGCUAACUACGUG